GAUGAACGCUGGCGGCGUGCCUAAUACAUGCAAGUCGAGCGAACGGACGAGAAGCUUGCUUCUCUGAUGUUAGCGGCGGACGGGUGAGUAACACGUGGAUAACCUACCUAUAAGACUGGGAUAACUUCGGGAAACCGGAGCUAAUACCGGAUAAUAUUUUGAACCGCAUGGUUCAAAAGUGAAAGACGGUCUUGCUGUCACUUAUCGAUGGAUCCGCGCUGCAUUAGCUAGUUGGUAAGGUAACGGCUUACCAAGGCAACGAUGGAUAGCCGACCUGAGAGGGUGUACGGCCACACUGGAACUGAGACACGGUCCAGACUCCUACGGGAGGCAGCAGUAGGGAAUCUUGCGCAAUGGGCGAAAGCCUGACGGAGCAACGCCGCGUUAGUGAUGAAGGUCUGCGGAUCGUAAAACUCUGUUAUUAGGGAAGAACAUAUGUGUACGUAACUGUGCACAGCUUGACGGUACCUAAUCAGGAAGCCACGGCUAACUACGUG
This 497-nucleotide ribosomal RNA is filed under the name uncultured bacterium. RNAcentral describes it as "partial 16S ribosomal RNA". It matches the Rfam family "Bacterial small subunit ribosomal RNA", at positions 28 to 507 of the family's 1533-position model. The record is from RNAcentral.